CGGGGGAACUGGGAUCGUCCCAGGAGCACCGCGAGGAAAACCCCGAGAAGGAGUUACCACCCCACUCAUAGAGGAGGACACCAAUGCAGAGAGAGGUUGGGUCACUCACCAAAGCCACACAGGACGUGGCAGAGCUGGAAUGUGAACCCAGGACAUUAUUUAUUCUACCGCUACAUCACUGAUGAUGGGAACAGAACAAUCGUAUGCUCUCAAUAAAUAAGGAUGAAUGCAUGAUUGAAAUAAUUUAAAAAUCAAAAUACGGAAAACUGAAGCUUCA
Molecule: long non-coding RNA, 277 nt
Organism: Rhinopithecus roxellana (golden snub-nosed monkey)
Lineage: Eukaryota; Metazoa; Chordata; Mammalia; Primates; Cercopithecidae
Exons: 3
Source: RefSeq, a predicted model, not a curated record